This is a small nucleolar RNA of Hevea brasiliensis (rubber tree), 106 nucleotides long. Lineage: Eukaryota; Viridiplantae; Streptophyta; Magnoliopsida; Malpighiales; Euphorbiaceae. The record is from RefSeq and is a predicted model, not a curated record.
AUUUGAUGAUGGGACAACUUGCGCAUAACUUCUUAAAUCUCUCCUAAUACUCAUACAAACUCUCUUCAUUGUACUGCCGGAUGCCACAAAUUUCUUUUCUUAUAUU